UGCCAGACUCCUACGGGAGGCAGCAGUGGGGAAUAUUGCACAAUGGGGGAAACCCUGAUGCAGCGACGCCGCGUGAGCGAUGAAGUAUUUCGGUAUGUAAAGCUCUAUCAGCAGGGAAGAAGAUGACGGUACCUGACUAAGAAGCCCCGGCUAACUACGUGCCAGCAGCCGCGGUAAUACGUAGGGGGCAAGCGUUAUCCGGAUUUACUGGGUGUAAAGGGAGCGUAGACGGCGAUGCAAGCCAGAUGUGAAAGCCCGGGGCUCAACCCCGGGACUGCAUUUGGAACUGUGUGGCUGGAGUGUCGGAGAGGCGGGCGGAAUUCCUAGUGUAGCGGUGAAAUGCGUAGAUAUUAGGAGGAACACCAGUGGCGAAGGCGGCCUGCUGGACGACAACUGACGGUGAGGCGCGAAAGCGUGGGGAGCAAACAGGAUUAGAUACCCUAGUACCG
This 449-nucleotide ribosomal RNA is filed under the name uncultured bacterium. RNAcentral's name for it is "partial 16S ribosomal RNA". It matches the Rfam family "Bacterial small subunit ribosomal RNA", at positions 329 to 793 of the family's 1533-position model. The record is from RNAcentral.